AACACAUGCAAGUCAGGGGCAGCACAAGGAGCAAUCUGAGGUGGCGACCGGCGCACGGGUGAGUAACACGUAUGCAACCUGCCUGUAAGCGGGGAAUAACCCGUUGAAAGACGGACUAAUACCGCAUAAUACUAAAUUACUGCAUGGUAAUUUAUUUAAACAUUUAUGGCUUACAGAUGGGCAUGCGCAUGAUUAGCUAGUUGGAGAGGUAACGGCUCCCCAAGGCAACGAUCAUUAGGGGUUCUGAGAGGAAGGUCCCCCACACUGGUACUGAGACACGGACCAGACUCCUACGGGAGGCAGCAGUGAGGAAUAUUGGUCAAUGGACGAGAGUCUGAACCAGCCAAGUCGCGUGCAGGAAGAAUGUCCUAUGGAUUGUAAACUGCUUUUGCAGGGGAAUAAAGUGCAUCACGUGUGAUGUUUUGUAUGUACUCUGCGAAUAAGGAUCGGCUAACUCCGUGCCAGCAGCAGC
RNAcentral lists this ribosomal RNA (472 nucleotides) under uncultured bacterium. Its description in RNAcentral is "bacterial SSU rRNA". It matches the Rfam family "Bacterial small subunit ribosomal RNA", at positions 50 to 518 of the family's 1533-position model. The record is from RNAcentral.